UGCCUAGAGCCGGAUUUGAACCAGCGACCUAAGGAUCACUGAUUUAACACCUAUAGUCCUCCACUCUGCCAACUGAGCUAUCGAGGU
Molecule: transfer RNA, 87 nt
Filed under: Cordylochernes scorpioides
Lineage: Eukaryota; Metazoa; Arthropoda; Arachnida; Pseudoscorpiones; Chernetidae
Description: tRNA-Tyr
Source: RNAcentral